Molecule: long non-coding RNA, 521 nt
Organism: Gossypium raimondii (Peruvian cotton)
Lineage: Eukaryota; Viridiplantae; Streptophyta; Magnoliopsida; Malvales; Malvaceae
Exons: 2
Source: RefSeq, a predicted model, not a curated record
UAAAAAAAAUCCUUUUUUAAAACGUUUCUGCUUCAUUUUUUUUCUUUUUGUUUAAAACAAUAAACAGAGGGGAAAGGGGAGGAUUUCUUUGCUAGGUUUUCCUUAAAGCCCUAGCCACCGUAGCCGUCAAAGCUCCGCCGCCGACUCCGAUUCAGGUACGUGCGUGUGUGGGAGUUGCUGCGACGUGGGGGUGAUGGUGGCGCCUGGACGAUUCGGCUGCUGACCUGCUACUAAUCUGUUAGGGUUUUUGGAACUUUAGGCCAAUUGGGCCCUGUAAUUGGGUUAGAAUUGACCCAAGUUUAUUGGUUUAAUUUAGGCUUGAGUUAAUGAAAUUGGGCCAUGUUGGGCCGACUGUAUUUAGUUUAUUAGGCUGUGCAAAUGGUUUUGGGCCCCGGGCAAUAAUUGGGUAUUACAGCUUAUUAGUAGGAUUUACGGUUUUAUUCGCUUAAAUUGAAACUUGGACAAACGUUAUUAUCAAUUUGAAUAAAUCCAUCUCAACUAUUCUUGUGAUUAUAAAAUAA